GAUAACAGGCUGAUUUUCCCCAAGAGCUCACAUCGACGGGAAGGUUUGGUACCUCGAUGUCAGCUCUUCGCCACCUGGGGCUGUAGUAUGUUCCAAGGGUUGGGCUGUUCGCCCAUUAAAGUGGUACGUGAGCUGGGUUCAGAACGUCGUGAGACAGUCC
RNAcentral lists this non-coding RNA (160 nucleotides) under Ipomoea nil (Japanese morning glory). RNAcentral's name for it is "Bacterial large subunit ribosomal RNA". It matches the Rfam family "Bacterial large subunit ribosomal RNA", at positions 2473 to 2632 of the family's 2925-position model. The record is from Rfam by way of RNAcentral. Lineage: Eukaryota; Viridiplantae; Streptophyta; Magnoliopsida; Solanales; Convolvulaceae.